RNAcentral lists this unclassified non-coding RNA (335 nucleotides) under soil metagenome. RNAcentral's name for it is "partial contains 5.8S ribosomal RNA, internal transcribed spacer 2, and large subunit ribosomal RNA". The stretch from base 1 to 120 matches the Rfam family "5.8S ribosomal RNA", at positions 35 to 154 of the family's 154-position model. The record is from RNAcentral.
GAUGAAGAACGUAGCGAAAUGCGAUAAGUAGUGUGAAUUGCAGAAUUCAGUGAAUCAUCGAAUCUUUGAACGCACAUUGCGCCCCUUGGUAUUCCACGGGGCAUGCCUGUUCGAGCGUCAUCUACACCCUCAAGCUCUGCUUGGUGUUGGGCGUCUGUCCCGCCUCUGCGCGCGGACUCGCCCCAAAUUCAUUGGCAGCGGUCCUUGCCUCCUCUCGCGCAGCACAUUGCGCUUCUCGAGGUGCGCGGCCCGCGUCCACGAAGCAACAUUACCGUCUUUGACCUCGGAUCAGGUAGGGAUACCCGCUGAACUUAAGCAUAUCAAUAAGCGGAGGA